Non-coding RNA from Rhinichthys klamathensis goyatoka, 426 nucleotides. Lineage: Eukaryota; Metazoa; Chordata; Actinopteri; Cypriniformes; Leuciscidae. The record is from the annotation of a RefSeq genome assembly.
CUCACCCCACCAAAACCCAACAUGACUAGGAACAUUAUUUCAUUGAUUCUGAUACUGUACUGGAGCCAAGGCACUAUGGGAGGAGAUGAUGUUGUUCAAGAGCCUAAAAUUCUUCAUGCACUAAAAGGGAGUUCAGCCCAAAUCAACUGCACACACAAUAAGGGUUCAACCUACAGACAGAUGUACUGGUACCGCCAGCGUACAGGAGAGACUAUGAGGCUCGUAGUGUUCACUACCUCUUACACCGAUCCAGAAUAUGAAGAUUCGGAGAAAAAUAAAUUUGUGGCCAGUAAAACGGUUCCCGAGAGUGGAUCUCUGACUGUGAAGGAUUUGCAGCCGGAUGACAGCGCCAUAUAUUUCUGUUCAGUGAGUGAAAACACAGUGAACGAAACUCUGGGCAGAGCUGUACAAAAACAGGUGGAUUAA